AUGAAUCAAUAUAUUCUAAGGUUUGUAUCACUGUGGUGGACUUUUGGUGGAGGAACCAGACUGGAUGUUGGAAGUGAUGUCCGUCCCACCCUGACGGUGCUGCCCCCCUCCAGCGAGGAGCUGCAGCAGGGGAAGGCCACGCUCAUGUGUCUGGCCAACGAUGGCUUCCCCUCAGACUGGAGUCUGGCCUGGAAGGUGGACGGCAGCAGCAGCAGCAGCUUGGAGCAGAGCAGGAGCCCCGGGGUGCUGCAGAAGGACGGCCGCUACAGCUGGAGCAGCACCCUGAGGCUCCCUGCAGACCAGUGGAGGAAGGUGGUCUCUGUGACCUGUGAGGCCACCCAGGGCUCCCAGACUCCAGUCUCAGAGACACUGAGGAGAGACCAGUGUUCCCAGUCCUGA
Non-coding RNA from Thunnus maccoyii (southern bluefin tuna), 399 nucleotides. The record is from the annotation of a RefSeq genome assembly. NCBI's taxonomy places the organism in Eukaryota, Metazoa, Chordata, Actinopteri, Scombriformes, Scombridae.